UUGAAAUCAACACAAGUGACAUUCAAAAGGGAGUUAAUGGCGUGGGGGCUGUUUUGAGUCAUCAUCAAGGGCUGAGUUUAAUUACUUGGUUAUUUUAAUCAUUUUUCAUCAAUUAAGACAAAUAAAAUUCAGCCAUUUAAAAGCCUAUCUAGAGUGGUUACACAAGGAGCAUAAAAAGGACAAUCAAAGCCUUAAAUGGCGUGUGGCUAGUUAUAGAGAAGGAGUUACAAUAGCUGAUUUCAUAAAUGUCAUUUUAUUACUAGUUUAAUUGCAUUUUAUGUUGCAUUUUUAUUUGUGUUGUAAUUUGGCUAUGCAUUUUUCGGCCAUAUAAGCUAUGUAUGAUCAUUUUUGAAUCAUUCAAUAAACAAGAACAAUUUCAGUCAAAUUAGAAUUUGUGUCUACAUUUUCACCUGAUUAUUUGCAAGUGUCACCUUGAAAAUAGUCCGAUUAGCUCAAUUGGUGUUGAGUGCUAAUCUCUUUGUUAGGCUAUUGGUGUAGUUUAACAUUGCCUAUCCCUUGCCUUUUCACUAAAACAAAAGAAACAAAUACCCAAAACACUUAAUAGAAUUCGACUAAUAAGGGUGGUACCUAGUACCUUCGUUAUUGGUUGUUUGCUUCCGCUAUCCUUACGAAUUAAGCACACUAAUUCGUAUCA
Molecule: long non-coding RNA, 655 nt
Filed under: Trifolium pratense (red clover)
Lineage: Eukaryota; Viridiplantae; Streptophyta; Magnoliopsida; Fabales; Fabaceae
Description: long non-coding RNA (TPRA_LNC013321)
Source: RNAcentral